Molecule: transfer RNA, 25 nt
Filed under: Incilius melanochlorus (dark green toad)
Lineage: Eukaryota; Metazoa; Chordata; Amphibia; Anura; Bufonidae
Description: partial tRNA-Phe
Source: RNAcentral
UAAGAUGAACCCUAAAAAGUUCUUU